UGCCUGGUAGUGAAAUGGCAUCACGCCUCUCUUUGGAAGAGGUAUUCUAGGUUCGAGUCCUAGCCGGGUAA
Molecule: transfer RNA, 71 nt
Filed under: Planctomycetaceae bacterium
Lineage: Bacteria; Pseudomonadati; Planctomycetota; Planctomycetia; Planctomycetales; Planctomycetaceae
Description: tRNA-Gln
Rfam family: tRNA
About the family: Transfer RNA (tRNA) molecules are approximately 80 nucleotides in length. Their secondary structure includes four short double-helical elements and three loops (D, anti-codon, and T loops).
Source: RNAcentral